AAUAGAUACCCUGGUAGUCCACGCCGUAAACGAUGAUCACUAGACGUUGGUUCCGCUCUGCGGGAUCAGUGUCGUAGCUAACGCGAUAAGUGAUCCGCCUGGGGAGUACGGUCGCAAGAUUAAAACUUAAAGAAAUUGACGGGGGUCCGCACAAGCGGUGGAACAUGUGGUUUAAUUCGACACUACGCGAGGAACCUUACCUAGGCUUGACAUGCAUAUGACCGCUCUAGAGAUAGAGUUUUCGGGGUAACCUCGAACAUUUGCACAGGUGCUGCAUGGCUGUCGUCAGCUCGUGUCGUGAGAUGUUGGGUUAAGUCCUUUAACGAGCGCAACUCCUAUCGUCAGUUGCUACUUCGCAAGAAGGCACUCUGAUGAGACUGCCUGGGAAACCAGGAGGAAGGCGGGAAUGACGUCAAGUCCGCAUGGUCCUUAUGCCUAGGGCUACACACGUGUUACAAUGGUCGGUACAAAGGGCUGCAAGCUCGCAAGAGUAAGCGAAUCCCAUAAAGCCGAUCU
Molecule: ribosomal RNA, 516 nt
Filed under: uncultured bacterium
Lineage: Bacteria
Description: bacterial SSU rRNA
Rfam family: Bacterial small subunit ribosomal RNA
Source: RNAcentral